CAGGACGAACGCUGGCGGCGUGCCUAACACAUGCAAGUCGAGCGAUGAAGCCCUUCGGGGUGGAUUAGCGGCGGACGGGUGAGUAACACGUGGGUAACCUGCCUCAAAGAGGGGGAUAGCCUCCCGAAAGGGAGAUUAAUACCGCAUAACAUUAUUUCUUCGCAUGAAGAGAUAAUCAAAGGAGUAAUCCGCUUUGAGAUGGACCCGCGGCGCAUUAGCUAGUUGGUGAGGUAAUGGCUCACCAAGGCGACGAUGCGUAGCCGACCUGAGAGGGUGAUCGGCCACAUUGGAACUGAGAUACGGUCCAGACUCCUACGGGAGGCAGCAGUGGGGAAUAUUGCGCAAUGGGGGAAACCCUGACGCAAGCAACGCCGCGUGGGUGAAGAAGGCCUUCGGGUUGUAAAGCUCUGUCUUCUGGGACGAUAAUGACGGUACCAGAGGAGGAAGCCACGGCUAACUACGUGCCAGCAGCUGC
This 475-nucleotide ribosomal RNA is filed under the name uncultured bacterium. Its description in RNAcentral is "bacterial SSU rRNA". It matches the Rfam family "Bacterial small subunit ribosomal RNA", at positions 25 to 518 of the family's 1533-position model. The record is from RNAcentral.